RNAcentral lists this long non-coding RNA (695 nucleotides) under Helianthus annuus (common sunflower). Lineage: Eukaryota; Viridiplantae; Streptophyta; Magnoliopsida; Asterales; Asteraceae. The record is from RNAcentral.
GAAUUUUGAAAAGGGUUUGAGCUCCACAAAUCUCAAAUCUGAGACAAGGCUCUCUCUUCCACCACCACUCCAUCUUCUUUCUACAGCAACGGUUCUUCUGCGUCAAGAAGUAGCAAUGGUGGCUAUGGUUCAAGUGGUGGUAGCAUGCGUUGCUUGGGUUCUAACAACAUUAAGUAUUCUGGCAACCACCAGUGAAAACGAGCGCCAUAAACAUAUUCCACUAGGUUUUCGACAAGAUUUCUGUUACAGAUGUUAUUGAAGAUCUAUCAAGGCCUAAUUUGAAGAGAGAAUCUGGAUGCAGAGAUAUUUGACUACCGUUGGUUCCUGAUAAAGCAAAGGGGCUAAAGCUAUGAAUUAAUCUAUUUUUGUACUUUAUUCUUUAUUGUGGUUGGGAGUAUGGAGUUUAGGGGUUGAGAUUACUAUUUGAAGCGCAGGUUUUGGCAAUCUGUUCCAAAAUUACUUCGAUUCUUAUACUGGUACAUGUAACUAAGCUUGAGACACUUGUAUGUUAUUUGCUAAACUACUGAUGCUUGAUUGAUGUAUUUUAGAGAGUUUUUGAGUCAACAUUUGCUAGAAGAAAGUCUAUUCUAAAGGAAUGGUUCUCAAAGAAGUACAAGCAGCUCACACUCAAGUGAUUAAAUGCGGUGGUAGAAAAUUCUUACUGGAACCAUAAGGCGAGAGGCUUUUGUUACCAG